RNAcentral lists this long non-coding RNA (2562 nucleotides) under Mytilus galloprovincialis (Mediterranean mussel). Lineage: Eukaryota; Metazoa; Mollusca; Bivalvia; Mytilida; Mytilidae. The record is from RNAcentral.
CAACAAGUGUACUAAGUUUCAAGUUGAUUGGACUUCAGCUUCAUCAAAAACUACCUUGACCAAAAACUUUAACCUGAACGGACGGACGGACGGACGCACAGACGAACGGAGGCACAGACCAGAAAACAUUAUGCCACUCUACUAUCGUAGGUUGGGCAUAAAAAUCAUGAAAUUAGGAAAAAUUUGACAUCACGUACCGAGAGUAAUUUUUUUGCAUAAUGGGUACAUAAUAAUGUCUAAGGUUAUAAAUUAUGGCCAGUAAUUUGGUUAAUAGAUUAUGUCUUGCAAAUGAUGACAACAGCAUAUUUUAAAAAUUCAUAUCUUUAAGAGUGAAAUUUGUCUCUGUCAUACAUUUUAAGAUUUAGUGUACAUUACAUAGAUGUUAAACUCUAGAAAUGUUGAUAGUGCUAUCAUGUUUCUUUAGGAGAAAACUGUUAAUACCUCUACAUUGUUGAUAUAUGUUACUAACUUACUAUAAUUUCUUUUUUAUGAUAAAUCCUGUAUAAGUUGGUGCAAUGAAUAUUUUGUUGUUGUGUUAAUUUUUAAAUAGAUAUAAUUUAUUUAUAUGGAUGUGUAUCUAGCUAUCUCCUCUUUUAAUUAUAUUUAUAUGAAUUAAAUCUGUUUAUAUAAUAUGUCAGCAUCAUAUAUUUAUUGGUUCUUUUUCAGCUCACUGAAACCCAUGUUUUUACUCAGUAUAUUAAGAAUAUUGUCCCACAUACACCAACUCCACAUAUAUUGCAUUUUUAUAUAUUCAGUACAGUUUGAUGCAGAAUGAAACUAGAGCGUGAUGACAUGAGCAUGAAAAAAAUGAGAAAACAUACUAAAAACAUCAUUUAAAAAAUUGCAAAAAUUUUAUUUUGUUUUCAUUCCAUUAACCAGCUUUUAGUGAUCUGCAUUUGAAUGGGAGCAUAUAGUUGGAAUCCCCCCUUUACUCUGGGUUGGGAACAGAUGUUGUACAUUCUGUAAUAAACACAUAAACUUUAUUUUCAAAAUUAACUGUCCAACAAUUAUUUUUAGAUUCUUGAACUCCAGUAAAAUUGGAGGUAAAUUAUGCUUAGUAAACCUAUUCACCCGUGAAAUUUUGAAAUACAAAAAGAAACACAUUUUUGUUGGUUUUGCACAAUUUUGAAGGCUUUGCAGUGACUUUUAGGCCAUUGAUGUCUGUUUGCUAAUUGUCUCAUAGGCAAUCAUACCAUAUCUGUGUUUUUGGUAUCUUGGUAAAAUUCAAAGUAAUAUGAUUAGCUGCAAGAAAUAAGAAUUAUUUGUAUUGAUUUUGAAGUGAACCUCUAAACGUAUAUUUUUUGGUCAGAUUGUGCUGUUGAGUUGCUGUCUCAUUGAUAAGAAAUUUGACCAUAAAUCAAUUUUAAAAUUGGAUGCUGCUUCAAAAAAUUAACAUUAUUUGCAUUCUUUAGAUAUUCAUUCUUCUAAAUUGAAUGAAAUUUCAGUCUAAAAUCGUAAUGGGUUUUGUUUGGGUAAAGAGUUUUUUUUAUCUUCAAAAUUCUUGCAUCUCUUUCACUGAAGUCCAUUUUUUGCAAUAGAAGUUGUUUACAAUUUUCUUUUAAUCAAAGUAGGGCUUCAUUUUCAUUAAAAAAGGUCCAGAUUCUUUCAUGUUAAUUUAAGUUUUAGAUAUCUUUGUCGAAUUUCAAUGAAAUGUACAUAUAUUUCUAGUCAAUCUUUUCAAUCAUGCAUGUACAUGUAAGUAGAAAAUUUCAUUACAAAAAAUACAAAUAUUGAAUUUUUGUUAGAUACCAUUAACUUAAUCACUAUAAAUUUACACUUAUGUAAAUUUUCUCAUAGAUUUACAACUAGGAUGUUUCCUUAUCUAACUACAUCAAGCGAAUUUGAAAAAUCACGAAAUAAGUUUUGCCCCUUAGUCAGUACCGGGGUAGUCAUUUUAUUUGAAAUUUUAUCUUGAGCUGUUUUAACAAAGACUAGAUAUCAAAAUUAAUAUUGAACAGACAAAGUAGCUGAACCUAAGAUACCGUAGAUUUAUUCUCAUUCUUCUCGAGUAAAUUUAGUUUAAUCAACUUAUCCAGUAAAAAAUGUAACAUAAAGUCCAAUUAAUGAAUUGAUUCAGAACAAAACAAAUUAUUUUUAUAAAUAUAUUUGAAAUUAAAAAGAUCCCUGCAUCAACUCUUUAUGCAACAUAAUUAGAAAACAAUGUAGCUGUGAUUUGGUUGACCCCUAGGUAAUAUAUUACAUGAACUCCAGAGACUUAUCUUUGUUUAUACAUGUAGUUGUCCCUUAUAUUUUACAUAUGUAUUGUCCUUGAUCUUAUGUUUUAUACUGUUCUGAAUAAAUAACAUUAUAAAGAUUUUAAAUCUUGGUACUCUUUCUUAUGAUAUUUUGUUUACUUGUUAAGUUAUUUAUGAACAUUAGAAAUUAUAUCAUAGUUGUAGCCAUCUGAAAAGAUUGUGAGAUUGAUGAAAUUAAAACUGGUCUAAUUUUUAUCUAGCCUACAAAGAAUAUGGUACUAUGUAAGACAUAUGGAAGUUAAAAUUUAACAGUUGAAGUUCUUUGUAUAUCUCCAGAUUUCAGAAGGUGGAAGACGCUAUUACUUAA